RNAcentral lists this ribosomal RNA (407 nucleotides) under uncultured bacterium. Its description in RNAcentral is "partial 16S ribosomal RNA". It matches the Rfam family "Bacterial small subunit ribosomal RNA", at positions 28 to 526 of the family's 1533-position model. The record is from RNAcentral.
GACGAACGCUGGCGGCGUGCCUAAUACAUGCAAGUAGGACGCAGUUGCGAACGGGUGAGUAACGCGUAGGUAACUACCUAUUAGAGGGGGAUAACUAUUGGAAACGAUAGCUAAUACCGCAUACUAGUAGAUGGACCUGCGUUGUAUUAGCUAGUAGGUAGGGUAAUGGCCUACCUAGGCAACGAUACAUAGCCGACCUGGGAGGGGUGGCGGGCACACUGGGACUGAGAAACGGCCCGGGCUCCUACGGGAGGCAGCGGUAGGGAGUCUUCGGGAAUGGGGGGAACCCUGACCGAGCAGCGCCGCGGGAGUGAAGGAGGUUUUCGGGUCGGUAAGCUCUGUUGUUAAGGAAGCGGUACUUAACCAGAAAGGGACGGCUAACUACGUGCCAGCAGCCGCGGUAAUUC